AUUGAACGCUGGCGGUAUGCCUUACACAUGCAAGUCGAACGGUAGAGGGGCAACCCUUGAGAGUGGCGAACGGGUGAGUAAUACAUCGGAACGUGCCCAGUCGUGGGGGAUAACGUAGCGAAAGCUACGCUAAUACCGCAUACGACCUGAGGGUGAAAGCGGGGGAUCGCAAGACCUCGCGCGAUUGGAGCGGCCGAUGGCAGAUUAGGUAGUUGGUGGGGUAAAGGCCUACCAAGCCUGCGAUCUGUAGCUGGUCUGAGAGGACGACCAGCCACACUGGGACUGAGACACGGCCCAGACUCCUACGGGAGGCAGCAGUAGGGAAUUUUGGACAAUGGGCGCAAGCCUGAUCCAGCCAUACCGCGUGCGGGAAGAAGGCCUUCGGGUUGUAAACCGCUUUUGUCAGGGAAGAAAUCUUCUGGGCUAAUACCUCGGGAGGAUGACGGUACCUGAAGAAUAAGCACCGGCUAACUACGUGCCAGCAGCCGCCGUAA
This 494-nucleotide ribosomal RNA is filed under the name uncultured bacterium. RNAcentral's name for it is "partial 16S ribosomal RNA". It matches the Rfam family "Bacterial small subunit ribosomal RNA", at positions 29 to 523 of the family's 1533-position model. The record is from RNAcentral.